CGGCCGUUGUUGAAGAUUUUGCUUAGUCUUCGUGAAGGAGCUUUGGCUGACCAAGUGUGUAGGACUUUCAUCCAGACACAAGCCAGUGAGCUGAAUAAAGAAGACGCUGUGUCCUUGUCACCUGCACCAGGCACUACAACUGCUGACUGCAUAAACAAAUUUGAAACAAGGUUUAUGGAUCUACGAAAGGUGGCUCUCAAAGAAAUAACUGAGAAACAAAUACCUGUGGCUGAUUUCCGCCAAACACUCAUGAUAUUGCCAAGCUCUAUGACAAAUGAAAAUAAAGAUUUUAUCAUAUCGAAGUAUUCCUUGUUUGAAAAAGCAGAGUCAAUCGAAAGCAUCUUUUUGCAUCUCA
Molecule: long non-coding RNA, 355 nt
Organism: Halichondria panicea
Lineage: Eukaryota; Metazoa; Porifera; Demospongiae; Suberitida; Halichondriidae
Exons: 3
Source: RefSeq, a predicted model, not a curated record